GGUUUCCGUAGGUGACCUGCGGAAGGAUCAUUG
RNAcentral lists this ribosomal RNA (33 nucleotides) under Myosotis lithospermifolia. Its description in RNAcentral is "partial 18S ribosomal RNA". Lineage: Eukaryota; Viridiplantae; Streptophyta; Magnoliopsida; Boraginales; Boraginaceae. The record is from RNAcentral.